Molecule: ribosomal RNA, 219 nt
Filed under: uncultured bacterium
Lineage: Bacteria
Description: partial 16S ribosomal RNA
Rfam family: Bacterial small subunit ribosomal RNA
Source: RNAcentral
GAUCAUGGCUCAGGACGAACGCUGGCGGCGUACUUAACACAUGCAAGUCGAACGAGAAUCUGUGGAUCGAGGAUUCGUCCAAGUGAAGCAGAGGACAGUGGCGGACGGGUGAGUAACGCGUGAGGAACCUGCCGUUUCAGAGGGGGACAACAGUUGGAACGACUGCUAAUACCGCAUGAUACAUUUGGGUGGUCAUCAUCUUGAAUGUCAAAGAUUUAU